Molecule: long non-coding RNA, 9306 nt
Filed under: Vigna radiata
Lineage: Eukaryota; Viridiplantae; Streptophyta; Magnoliopsida; Fabales; Fabaceae
Description: long non-coding RNA (VRAD_LNC009453)
Source: RNAcentral
CGUCUGUAAUCUCUGAAACAGAGGUAUGCCGUGUAGAUGACAUAUUUUUUGUAUUACAUGAGCAGGAAAGCGACCAAGGGUGGCAGAAAAGUAAUUGCUCGAAGAAUAGCCAAGGGCCGGUUUAGGAUUACAGCUUAGUAUCAUUGCAUUGACAUUGGAGUUAAAGUUUGAAUUUAGAAACUCAGUGCACUUCAUGGUAAGGCCCAGUGAUAGAGGAUGAACCUGACAUUGCUACCUAAAAGAGCUCCUCUUUUUGGUUGGGUGUGGGGUUGGAGUUUUAUUAAGUAUAGUAUGCUAUGAACAACUUUUCAGGCAACUUUUGUGUUAACAUUCUGUUUAUUUCUAUUUGAAAUUCUGGUCAGUAGUUGCAAUAAUUUGUAACUCUAGUAUUAGUUUUAUGUGUUGAGCACUGCAGAAUAAUCUAGCUUUAUUUGGUGCAAAGAAAACGAGUGUUUUUAAGUUUACUAGUUUGAGUUUGACAAACAUAAACUCGUUCGAGUUUGAGUGAGUUUGACAACCAUGACUGUCUCAUGUGUUUGUUUUCUGCUUCCAAAUUCCAUUUUGCACAAAUUUGAAGACUGUUUGUAGAAGGAUUUUUUUUUUUUUUGUUCAAAUGGCCAUUAAAGAAGAUUAAAGGAAGUAAUGGUUUUUGUUUUAUUUCAAGGGUGAGUUUGGAUCAAGUAAAAUUUUAAAGAAAAAAAGUAAAGAAAAAGAAAAAGGGAAGAAAAGUAAUAGUAAGAGUUGACUUUUGAAUAAGUGAAUGAAAAAAAAGUGUAACUAUUUCUGUCUUGAUUUAUUGUAUACAUAGUUAAAGAAAAGAAGAAUGUGUAUAUAAUGACGUAAAUAUCUCUCUAAUCAAUAUGGUUUAGUCCUCAUUUAUGUAAAGCGUUUCUGAGAAUGCAGCACUUAUUUUAGUUUAAUUUGGUUUGAGUAAAAUAUAUUUCUUUACCUGGUUUGAUAACUUUUUUUAAUAAUUUUAGGAAUAAAAGGUAGCAAAAAAUGAAAUAAUUUUUUUAUAAAUUAAAUGGUCUAGUGUAUAAUCUUAUUUUGUUUAUGAAAAUUUUAAUUCAAUUUUUUUAUUUAUUUCAGGUGUGAGGUUCAAAAUUAAAAUAAAAACACUUUUUUACAUUUUUUUUCUUAAUUUUUUGUCUUUAAACUCCAAAUCGAAUGGUGAGUAUUUAUUAAAGACACUUUAAUAUUUAAAUUAAUUAUACGUCCGAUUAAUUAUUAUAGUAAAAUCUUAAAUUUAUAAUAAUUACAAAAAUUUAGAGAUUAAAAAUAUCAUCUCAUCUAAUAUAUAAUAUCUUCUAAUAGAAGUGUUGAUCAUCUGAUCAAAGAGAAACUGAUCAGUCAUAGUGUGCACUUUGUUUUAUGAAAAACUUACGUAAACGUUUGCAUGAGAGUAAGUUUGAUCUGUAUGAAAAGUACGUUUGGGUUUUAUGGAGAAAUGAAAUAAUAUAUGAAAGGUGAAUUAGGAAAUUGAUAUACUGAAAAUGUUAGAAAUGUGUGGUGUGUAGUGUUUGAAUUGACGUGAAUGUGAAGAAAAGUUGGUGAAAUGAAAGGUUAAGUUUGUGCAUUGGGUGUGUGAGUAAGAGGACUUUGUUUUCAUUGCAUACAUGAAUGAAUGAUUGAAAGCUAAUUAUCAACUCACACAAAUUGCUAAUUAUUGGAAGGGCCGAUGCUUUUCCCUUCUCAGAUCAUUUUCUUUCCAUAAGCUCAUUUUAUUGGAGUAUGUGUUACUUCAAAUUCGUACAAGAUCAAUAAUAUAUAAAAGAGAAUAAUUACUUUUGAACCAAUCAUUCCUAAAAAAAAUAUCAAAGUAAAUUAAUCUAAUUUAUAGAGUUAUCAUUAGUUUAGUUAAAAUAGUCAAUUUAACAUGAUUCACUUUUUAAUAAGUUACAAAUUUUGUAAUUCAACUCGAUCUGCUAAUAUACGAUGGAUUGAGUUUGAUUGAUGGAUUGAGUCAUUUAUAAAUGUUUUGUUUUUAUAAUUUAUUUUAUAAUUUAUUUUAUAUAUAUAUAUAUAUAUAUAUAUAUAUAUAUAUAUAUAUAUAUAUAUAUAUAUUACAAUAUAAUGAAGGUGAAUUAACUCGAUCUAUUCUUUUUAUAAUAGUAGAAUAAAAUAUUUAUUUAAUUAUAGAAAUAUUAUUAGAAAAAUAAUAGUUGAGAAUUAAAAUAUUAAUGUAUAUAAUUUGAAAAACCAAUAAAUUAAACAUUAGAAGUAUUCAAACAUUAUAAAAAUAUAUUUAGUAUUUAAAAAACUCAAAUUAUGAACAUAAAUACUUAAAAUUAUUAGAUAAUUAUAGCAGAAAACUUAUAAAAAAUGAUAAAAAUAUUAAUGAUUCGAACUACUUUAAUUUGAGUUAAAUGAAUGGAGUUCAAUUUAAUCUAUAUUAAUCCAAUUUAAUUGGAGUCUAUGAUGAAUAUGUUAGCUUAUGGAUUAGAAUCCAUUUUAUCAUCUUUGCUAAAAGAAACUUAAUAAGUGAAUAUACUUAAGUUAUUGGCUUCAUUAUAAAGAAAAACUAUAAAUGAUAUCAAGUAAUUGUUUUUAAGUUCUUGAAUUGAAGGUGUGGUUUUCUUUUUUAUUAAAAUAUUUAUUUUGUUUUAUACUUUGCCUUCAAAUUUAUAUAUAAUAUUCGAAUGGUCACAUUUAAAAUAUUAUUUAUUUUUGUAUUAAAUUAUUUUAUUACAAUUCUAUUCCACAAUCGAGCCAAAUAUUUAAAAUUUAGCCUUUCUAUUUAUUGUAAGAUUACAUUGGUAUAUAAUAGUUCUCACCUAAAAUUAAAGAGUUGAAUGAUGAACUAACUAAGUGAAUAGAAUAGUCUCUUUUAGAAAGUAAGAAAAAGAAAAGUAGCAUAAGAACUGUAUAUAUAGAUUGCUGUAAUUUUAACAGAACUUUGUUAAAGUAUAUAAAUGUAAUCCCGCAAGCAGACAAAACACUAUAUAUUAUCAUAACCAUCUUUAACCCAACCAACUCUAAUGCCUUAAAUUGCUCUUUAAUUUUCCAUACAUUUUUAAUAACUAAUCAUCACAUUCUCAUAACUAGCUAACGAAAUACUACAUAACAAACAAAUCACAUGCAAAUUAAAUAUAUAUAUAUAUAUAUAUAUAUAUAUAUAAUUUAACUUUAAUAAUUUAUAUCUAUCGACUUUAGUUGCAAAUAUCACUAUCUCUCAUCGAAUAAAACACUCUUAUCUUCCCAUGUUAAAAAGUCACUAAUGUAAUCAGGAGAAACGACAACGAUUAUUUUUAUUUAUAGACAACAAUUUUUGAAUCGAGACAUAUAAAGAUAAGACAAAAAAUCUAAAUAUUUUUAUGUUUCGGUUGUGAACCGAGACAAAAAGGUGUAAGAUUUUGCCUCGCUUCAAAGUGAACCGAUGUAAUAGAUUUAGAUAUCAGUUUUGUCUAAACUGAGAUUUAUUAUGCGAAUUUAAAACCAAAUUUUGCAUUAAUGAAUAUACGUUAAGUUUAAUUUAACUUUAUAAAAUCAACUUAUAAAAUAAGAUUAUGUUUAUAUUUUAAAUUAUUCUUAUUUCUAAAUGAUAUCAACUUCCAAUGUCAUUUGGGUCACGAAAAUGAUAUUUUAACACCAAUUUUUGACACCAUUCUAACACUACACACAUGUCAAAAUGUGGUUGGACGAUUUCAAAUUAACAAAAGUUGAGACAAGGGCAUAUUUGAAAGAGAAAAAUCACAAUUUUUUUUUUAAUUUGAAAUCAUCCAACCAUAUUUUAACAUGUAUACAGUAUAAAAAUGGUUUCAAAAAAUUAGUGUUAAAAUGUCAUAUUUUCCCAUUGUAUUAUUGAAUUUGUCUACCAUGAGCUGAAGGAGCUUUUCGCGUUAUUCAAUAUUUGUCAAAGUUAAAGUUGAACCUUGUUGGAAGGAACUUGUACGUUUUCCAGCGGAAAAAGCAAGUUUACGUCACCAUUUUUAUAGUUUAGGAUUUGGAUUCUUGCACUUGGAGUUUUGUUACAUAAUACGUAUUUGAUUUGGCUUCGAGUCACAUCCAUUUUUCGGAUAUAAUUAAAAAUAAAUAAAUUACUCAAAAAUUGUUUUAAUUUAGAUAUAAAGUCAAACAAACACGAACUUACUUUAUCCAUUGAAUCCAUUUAUGAUCAGAAAAUUCACUAUAGAACAAAUCCUUUUUCCCCAAACAUACAACAAAAUGGACCAUACCAUAGCAUUCCCUAAUAUGUUAAAUAUGAAAAUAUAUAUACCCAUGAAAAUGCCAAAAUAAAGUUUCUUGGUAUUCAAGAUAUUACCAAUCAACGUUGAAGAAUCUUAAUUAAUUAACAAAAAAAAAGUAAACUAUGUUUAUAGUCACUAAAAUUAAAACGUAAAAUCGAAAUUCAUCUUUAUUUCUAAAACUUUGAUAUAAUGUAGUAUGUAAACUUUAAAAAAAUAAUAAAAAUUAUAUAUAAUUUUCGUAAUUUAAUUACAUUAAAUGUCAAGCAACGUUUUAAGUUAAUUUCUAAGUUAUUUAUAUCAUUUAACAAUCCGAAACAUUGAUUGACAUGUAAAAAAUAUAACACAGUUUGAUUAAAAUAGUUAUAUUUAUUUAUUUUUAAAAUUUAAUAGUAAAAAAUAUCAAAACUUAAAAAAAAAAACUUUAAUUUGACCUCGAAAUACAAGAACUAUAAACAUAUGCAACAAAAGAACAAAAGAACAAGUAUAUCAUAACACUUAUUUGACACGUCUAAUAAGAAUCAAAUGGUCUUAAAAAAAAGUGAAUUUUUAUAGUUUUUUGAAAAAGAAAAAAAAAAUAGUAGUAUCAAAUAAAUAUAAAAAAAUUACAUGUCUCCGGUAUGAUAUUAUUUUUUUAGUGCUGGUAUAAUGAUACAACUUGUCAAUCACAUUCAAAUAACACUAUUUUUUUAAUUUUCCCAUCCAAAAUUAUCCUUUUUCUUUUAAAAAACAUUUAAAAAGAUGAGAGCUACCGUGUCAUUUCUAUGUCAAAAAUAAAUUAGCAUGUCCAAGUAUAUUUUUGUGUUUUUUUUGGAAAAUGAUAUUUUAACACUAUUUUUUGACAUCAUUUUGACACUGCGCACGUGUCAAAAUGUGGUUAGACGAUUUCAAAUUAAAAAAAACUGAAGCAAGAACAUAUUUAAAAAAAAAAGUUUUUUUUUUAAUUUGAAAUCGUCAAACUACAUUUUGACACGUGUACAGUGUCAAAAUGACAUAAAAAAAUUGGUGUUAAAAUAUUAUUUUCCAUAUUUUUCUUGAGAAAAAGCUUGUUUUUGGUGCAUUAAGAAAUUUUAAACGUUAAGUUAUGAUGAGUCCCAUAAAGUAAAAUGUAGUAUAGGAGUGACAGUAUAUGCUGGAAUCCUACAUAGGACACUUUGUCCUAGAUGGAGUUGACCAUGAUGUGUACGUGUUUUGUCAUUGUUCUACAACGGCAUCCAUUAAUUAAUGUUAUGUUGUUACACAGAGAAAGAGAUAGAGUGAGAAGAAGCAAUGGAAGAAUUAAUGAGUUAAAAAGUACAGAACUAGCUCUUCAUUUUCAUUUUUUAAUAAAGCAUUAUAUGUAGCUCUAGCUGCCUUCAACACUUCAUAUAUGGAAGUAUUGUGACAAAUAUGUGAAAGAACCUACACACAUUUAUGGAACUUCUGCAAGCAUUCAUCAAUGGAAGUGCCCUUGAACUAGCAAGGUUCAGGUUUACCAAUAAGAGAAAAACUUCAACAAAUAAUUAAUGCAUCAGUUCAUUGAUCAUCAAAGAGAUUCCCUAAUUAUUUAAUUAAAUGUACUAUAUAUAGAUAAAAUUAAAUUUAUAUCUAUAAAUAGUACCAACGUUCAAGGCUCCCAUCCUGAGGGAAUAAUAGGGUUUGGGAGCUUUUGGGUGCUUGAAACUGAUAAUGAAGUUGUUGAAGAUGGCAACAAUGACAUGAAGGCAUCGAUGUACUCUAAUUGGUUCACUGCCACAGCUAGAUCUUGUGGAUAACACUGAAAUUUUGCUGUAGUCUCGUGUUGUUCUUGGGGAGUGGAUGAGAAUGGUAUGCUGCUGCAAACAUAAUUAUCCUCAAUGUUCUCACUGAGUAUUGGCACAAGGGGUUCUUCUACCAAGUGAUAUUCAUGUUGCUGCAAUGCUAUUGGGUUGAUGAAUUUGUCAAGAAGAUAGUCUGAGGUGGUGUAACUUUUGGUGAUUUGAUUUUGUUCAUUUGGAUUGGAAGAUGGUAGUGGUGUUGUUUCUGGUAAUGGUGGAUUCUGAAUAUGAAGGAAAUUGGCAUUGUAAUAAGUGUUGAAACCUAACUUGACAUCAUUGUUAUGAUCAAAAGCUUGUAGGAAUGGGGAUGGUGUGUCUGAGAAAUGGUGGAAGUUUAAGAUGAGAUUAGGGUUUGNAGUAAAAGGGAAGAAAGUUUCCAUGGUGAUGGGGCUGUGAUGAAAAUCAGAAAAUGUGGCUAAAGGAGGAAUAGCAUCGUGAGAAAGGAGUUUCUUCUUUAUGCUUGAAUUCCAAAAGUUUUUCACCUCAUUAUCUGUUCUUCCAGGUAGGUGUUUGGCUAUCUGAGCCCACCUGUACCCGAAAAAAGUAGAUAAAUAAAGCACCCUUUUGACAAUAAUGUUGAUGAUAAGCACAUGAAUAGAACAAAAAAGAAAAGUAAAAAGAAAGAAAAAAGGACCAUGUGAUUAGCAAUGGUUAUAUACCUGUUCCCUAAAAUGNUGUGGAGUUCAAUAAUGAGAGCUGCUUCUUGAGGAGAGAAGCUUCCACGUUUCAAAUCAGGUCUCAGAUAAUUUAUCCAUCUUAAUCUGCAACUCUUUCCACAUCUUUGCAGGCCUAACACAUCAUCAAACAAACUCAAAAUUUCAAGACAUAACAAAAGUGGUAGACUUGUUAAUUAUAUCAUAUACAUAUAUAUAUAGAGAGAGAGAGAGAGACCUGCAAGUUUUGGGACAGAACUCCAGCAGCCAUGUCCGUAAGCUGUGAUGUAGUUGAUGAGUUUCUCAUCCUCUUCAGGUGACCAAAGCCCUCUUUUGACCUUCUGCUUGUUGCAGCAAGAGUGGUGUCCCAUUUUUGUCUCCCUAUCUAAUACAGUAGCAGAUUUUUGUGUUGUGUUUGAAAAGAAAGGAUGAUGAGAUUGAGGAGAAAGGAAGCUCUCUAGAGUCUAGCUAGCUUUUAGGCAAAACUUACAAAGUGAUUGCACUGAUCAGUUAAUUAUGGUGUGCAUGUGAGCAUAUUUAGCAGAGAAAAAUAACAAUAUGAUGCAGAAGCACAGAAGAAGCAGAAGCAGAAGCAGAAGUGGCUGUAUUCUGAGAUGGUGAUUUUAGUGAAGAAGGUGUAAGAUGGUUGCAGAAUAGCUAAAAGCUGCUAUGUCACCCUGCACAAGUUGUAGCUCUUAUAAAGGAUGCUUCAUUGCUCACUGUGUUAAUAGUGUUAAUGGGGUGUACACGUGUAACACAUGCAGGUGGUAGGACCCUAUGUAGUUCCGGGUCCCACAUCGAUACAUAAUACAUAAACAUAUAUACUCACCAUGUUUUCUUAACAAAGCAACUCUUACUUUCUUUUAUCGUCAAAAUUAUUCAUUAAUAUACUUCUGAUAAAUACUUGCCACCAACAGAAAAGAUGUAGAGAAAAAUAAUGAAAAAACUUAUUUUAACAAUACUUUUUUAAUAACUUUUUGAUAACGUAUAUGUAAGCUUGUGAUUGGUCCGUUUUAAAUAUUUUUUAAACAUAAAUUCAAAUAGACCAAUAAAAUGAUGACACGUGUUCCGUUGUAAAAAAAAUUGUUAAAAAGUGUUGUCAAAAUAUCAUAGUUCAAAAAUAAUAUAACAUCGUAUUGAAAGCUUUCAAAUCUCUUUAAUAUAUAUUGUUUUUUUUUUUUUGAUAAUUUAUGUGAUAAAUGUGAGAAACCUUUUUAGAGGAAUGAUGAUAGAUAAGAUAUUUUUAUAUUCAUUUUAUAUAUAAUACAAAAAUAAAAUAGUUAUAAAAAAAUGAUUUUGAAUUACGAAUGAUAUCUAUAAUUUUUUAUACAAAUUUGACAUUUUUAUUAAAUCUUUCAAGAAAAUCAUCCCAUCAAAAUUUUAUAAGAAUUUCUAUGCUUCUACUUAACUUCACCUUUUAUGGUUUUUUUAACUAUUAAUUAUAUUACUUAACAUUGUGGAUAUAUGGUAAAACUUGAUGUAUUUUAUUGAUUACAUACCCGGUCAAUUUUUAUUUUAUUUUUGCUUUUAAUAUAUAGAAAAUUAGUAAUAUGAUACCUUUACGAAGAAAACAUCUUAACAAUUUCUUUUUAAUGAUAUAAUAAUACAUAUUAACAUUUUAAAUCAAAAAUUAAGAAAAAAUUAAUUAAUUAUCACAUAGUUGUGCAUUAAUGGGUUGUGAAGAAAUUAAUUUCGAAAUAGCUAGCUAGACAAAAGUUGAUAAAGAACGAGAUUGUAUUAUUGGAAGGGGUCAUGAACAUCUCCGACAACUGUAUACUUUCUAUCAAAUUAAAGAUUGUUAACUUUUUCUUUCCAUAAUCAAAAUAAUUAUUAUUAUUAAUUAGGAUUAAGUAAAAAAAAGGAUAAAAUAUAUUUUAAUCCUUCAAUUUUCAAUAAAAAUUAGAAUUAGUCACUUUUUAAAAUUUUAAUCCAAUUUAGUUUCUCAAUUUAAAAUGCAUUUAAUUUUUUUUUGUAAAAUUUUAUCAACAAUUCAAAUGUAUUUCUCAAUUAACAUUAAUAUAAAAAUGUAUCAAAUGAUGUAAACAACUCAAAUGUAUCAUAAAACAUAUUUAAAACAUCAAAUAAACUUAAUAAAAUUUAGUUAAAAGGAAUAUAUCUAUAUAUUUCUAAAGUUAGCAAAUUAAAUCAGAUUAAAUUUUUAAAAAAAGAUUAAUUCCAAUUUUAAUUAAAAAUUAAAAAACAAAAACAUAUUUAACUCAAAAAAAUAUAAUUUAAAACACAAAUUCAAGAAAUUAAAAAACUUCAUCAUAAACUUAAACACCACACAUUGUUUAUUCUUUGUCUCCAAUUAUUAGAUUGGAAAUAUGAAUAAAUUUUGGCUGGAAAGGAAAAGAGAAAAUGUUUUGAGAUUUAGAAGGAAAUGAUUAGAUAUGGAUGUGUUUGUUGAAAUUGCUCUCUUUGAAUUGAUGGUAUGAUAAAGAGAAAUAGCUUUAAGGGAGAAAUAUUUAUAUAGAUGUAUGAUAGAUUUGCUGACUACAAGAAAGGAAUAAUAUGUCUCUUUUGGUUGAAAACAUAAAUAAAUAAAAAAAAAUCACGUGAAAAUCAUUGGUGAUUAAAGGUAGAGUUAAGUGGAAGCAUAUAGAGUGGUCAAGGCCUAACACAAAUUUCCUAAUUAUUUUAUCUUUAUUACUGCAAAAGUGUACUUUUUUUGGU